Molecule: ribosomal RNA, 486 nt
Filed under: uncultured bacterium
Lineage: Bacteria
Description: partial 16S ribosomal RNA
Rfam family: Bacterial small subunit ribosomal RNA
Source: RNAcentral
AUUGAACGCUGGCGGCAUGCCUUACACAUGCAAGUCGAACGGCAGCACGGGUGCUUGCACCUGGUGGCGAGUGGCGAACGGGUGAGUAAUACAUCGGAACAUGUCCUGUAGUGGGGGAUAGCCCGGCGAAAGCCGGAUUAAUACCGCAUACGAACUACGUAUGACAGCGGGGGCCCUUCGGGCCUUGCGCUAUAGGGUUGGCCGAUGGCUGAUUAGCUAGUUGGUGGGGUAAAGGCCUACCAAGGCGACGAUCAGUAGCUGGUCUGAGAGGACGACCAGCCACACUGGGACUGAGACACGGCCCAGACUCCUACGGGAGGCAGCAGUGGGGAAUUUUGGGCAAUGGGCGAAAGCCUGAUCCAGCAAUGCCGCGUGUGUGAAGAAGGCCUUCGGGUUGUAAAGCACUUUUGUCCGGAAAGAAAUCCUUGGCCCUAAUACGGUCGGGGGAUGACGGUACCGGAAGAAUAAGCACCGGCUAACUACGUG